AACGUAGGAGGCGAGCGUUAUCCGGAUUCACUGGGCGUAAAGCGCGUGUAGGUGGCUCGUCAAGCCGAUGGUGAAAGCCUCUGGCUCAACUGGGGGAGGACUGUCGAAACUGGCGGGCUGGAGGAUCCGAGAGGAAGGUGGAAUUCCCGGUGUAGCGGUGGAAUGCGUAGAGAUCGGGAGGAACACCAGUGGCGAAGGCGGCCUUCUGGCGGAUGCCUGACACUGAGACGCGAAAGCGUGGGUAG
This 245-nucleotide ribosomal RNA is filed under the name uncultured bacterium. Its description in RNAcentral is "partial 16S ribosomal RNA". It matches the Rfam family "Bacterial small subunit ribosomal RNA", at positions 524 to 768 of the family's 1533-position model. The record is from RNAcentral.